CUGCAUCGAGUCUCGACCUCCUUCUCCAAGCUGACCUGCGUCGACUCCCGACCUCAUUCUCCAACCUAAGCCUACUGGAGCCGCCUCCAACCUGACCCCGAGUCCUCGACCUCGCUCUCUGACCCCGAGUUCCCCUGCCUCGCUCUGACCCCGAGUCCCCCCGAUCUAGUUUUCCAGACCUCGAGCUUGAGAUCCGAUCUGACCUCGAGCUUAUUAGCCGACCUGAGCUUGUCAUUCUCCAACGUCUAGUCUCAGGAAGAUCGUAGAUUGAAGGUUUUCAAGAAGGAGUGGUUUGAAGGCAAGGACUGUCUUGACAUUGGCUGCUAUUCUGGGGUUAUCACUAUACAAAUCGUUGUUUGAUGCUGUUCUGCAUCUACCUGGGAGGAGUACUGCUGUCGUCUUUGAGUUUUGGAUAAUAGGAUUUUGAAUAGAGACAAGCAGAGAGGAUAUUUAGUUUUUGGG
Long non-coding RNA from Rosa rugosa (rugosa rose), 462 nucleotides. RefSeq lists it as uncharacterized. The record is from RefSeq and is a predicted model, not a curated record. The transcript has 3 exons. NCBI's taxonomy places the organism in Eukaryota, Viridiplantae, Streptophyta, Magnoliopsida, Rosales, Rosaceae.